GAGAGCUUGCUCUCUGGGUGGCGAGUGGCGGACGGGUGAGGAAUACAUCGGAAUCUACCUAGUCGUGGGGGAUAACGUAGGGAAACUUACGCUAAUACCGCAUACGACCUUCGGGUGAAAGUGGGGGACCUUCGGGCCUCACGCGAUUAGAUGAGCCGAUGUCGGAUUAGCUAGUUGGAGGGGUAAUGGCCCACCAAGGCGACGAUCCGUAGCUGGUCUGAGAGGAUGAUCAGCCACACUGGAACUGAGACACGGUCCAGACUCCUACGGGAGGCAGCAGUGGGGAAUAUUGGACAAUGGGCGCAAGCCUGAUCCAGCCAUACCGCGUGGGUGAAGAAGGCCUUCGGGUUGUAAAGCCCUUUUGUUGGGAAAGAAAUCCUGUCGGUUAAUAACCGGUAGGGAUGACGGUACCCAAAGAAUAAGCACCGGCUAACUUCGUGCCAGCAGCCGCGGUAAUACGAAGGGUGCAAGCGUUACUCGGAAUUACUGGGCGUAAAGCGUGCGUAGGUGGUUGUUUAAGUCUGCUGUGAAAGCCCUGGGCUCAACCUGGGAAUUGCAGUGGAUACUGGGCGACUAGAGUGUGGUAGAGGAUAGUGGAAUUUCCGGUGUAGCAGUGAAAUGCGUAGAGAUCGGAAGGAACAUCUGUGGCGAAGGCGACUAUCUGGGCCAACACUGACACUGAGGCACGAAAGCAUGGGGAGCAAACAGGAUUAGAUACCCUGGUAGUCCACGCCCUAAACGAUGCGAACUGGAUGUUGGGUUCAACUUGGAACCCAGUAUCGAAGCUAACGCGUUAAGUUCGCCGCCUGGGGAGUACGGUCGCAAGACUGAAACUCAAAGGAAUUGACGGGGGCCUGCACAAGCGGUGGAGUAUGUGGUUUAAUUCGAUGCAACGCGAAGAACCUUACCU
This 910-nucleotide ribosomal RNA is filed under the name uncultured bacterium. Its description in RNAcentral is "bacterial SSU rRNA". It matches the Rfam family "Bacterial small subunit ribosomal RNA", at positions 74 to 976 of the family's 1533-position model. The record is from RNAcentral.